This 1528-nucleotide long non-coding RNA is filed under the name Sorghum bicolor (sorghum). Its description in RNAcentral is "long non-coding RNA (SBIC_LNC014916)". Lineage: Eukaryota; Viridiplantae; Streptophyta; Magnoliopsida; Poales; Poaceae. The record is from RNAcentral.
CUCCACUUGAAGUAGCAAGGUGGGAGUAAAGUCCCCCACCUUUUCAUAUAUACAUGCUUGUGUGAAUGGGUCUCUGGGAUUUAUUUGGAAUUGUUUGGCCCAUGACCCAAAACAUCUAACAUUGAUCACGAUGGGGUUGUAUUUGCAAUUGUUGAUGACUACCUGUGGUUGACGUGGUAGACGCAUGCAUCACCAUGGCGCCCCCCGGUGGCCAGCGUAGCCUCCCCUAUCCUUGUACGUAGAUGUACGAGAGCUUGCACGUAGAUGCAUCUAGCUGGAGUCAUAUGUGCGCAUAUAUGACCUGUACGUGCAUCACAUGCACAUUUGCCUUAGCCUUGUUUACUAUGCCAAAAAAGCUCAUUAGUGACACGUCUAGAUAGGCAUUAGUGACGCAAAAAACGUGUCACUUUUAUUACGUCUCUGAUGUUAGCAUUCUAGUGACCUAAAAACGCGUCACUAAGGACCAUAUCAGAGACGCGUUCGGAUACUACGCGUCACAUGAUCAGCCAACUGUGACUCAUUCAGGCAAGACGCGUCACUGAUAACUAUUUACUGUGACUCGUUCAGCCAAGACGCGUCACUGGUGCAGAUCUCAUCAGUAACGCAUUGUAUCAAAACGUGUCACUAAUGGUAAUUGAAAAAAACAAAAAAAACAAGAAAAAUCUAUAUAGGGCCAUGUUUGUUCAGUACCUAUUCUUUACACAGCUGCAGUAGUAGCACCUGCAGAUCUAUACCUAUUCUUUACACAGAUGCAGCAGUAGCAGCUGCAGAUCUAUCUCGUAAUACACAUGUUUCAUUCAAUCCAACAAUCAAAUCAUUUACAAGUACGCAAUAAAGUAUCUUGCACAAGGUGCAGUGUGACCUAAAAGAUCUCUAACAGUACAUGGCCGUGGCCCGAAGAUUUCUAACAGUACAUGAGGUAACUCCUCUAUGGUUUUUUCUUGAUGCACAAUACUUAUUGCAAUGUAACAUGUAUAUAUCUAUGAAUAUUGCUAAAUGGCUAACAUAGACUUUCGCAUGUUUUAGAAUAAGGACUAGCUCAAGUUACUUCUCCAAUUCCCGGUCUUGGCAAACAGCUGGACACUGAUUGAUGGCCAGGAAGGCAUUCUACCUGCAAAAACUAUAGUCAAUUUCCCAGCCUAAGCACACAAUUGGACUAUCACAACAAAAAUAAAUGCUCAAGCCAAGCUAAAUAGGAAGAUUGUCAUAGCUACUUGUUAAUUAACCAUAUAACAGAAGCACUAUUAAAACAAAAAGAAAUACUUAGGCACUACAGAGGUUACAGCUAAUAACAUAAAUCACAAAGAGCACGAACCUGCAAGCUGCCAUGUAAAUAAAUAUCAAAGAAACAAAGGUUGCUAAUAAAUUCAUAUAUCUGAAACAACCACUAUUAAGUAAAACAGACAGAUCUCUCAGAUUCACAGUUCCCAAUUCUACAGUGGUCAUGAGCUUACCAUCAGUAGAUUGUGCAGCCACUAAAGCACAGGUGACAAAAUAGAACUCCAGCACAAUCUGCUUGUUGAAUGUU